Small nuclear RNA from Heteronotia binoei (common prickly gecko), 107 nucleotides. The record is from RefSeq and is a predicted model, not a curated record. NCBI's taxonomy places the organism in Eukaryota, Metazoa, Chordata, Lepidosauria, Squamata, Gekkonidae.
GUACUCAUUUUGGCAGGACAUAUACUAAAACUGGAACAACACAGAGAAGAUUAGCAUAGCCCGUGGGCAAAGAAGAUGUACAAAUCCAUGAAGCUUUCCAUAAAAAA